Molecule: non-coding RNA, 45 nt
Organism: Schistosoma margrebowiei
Lineage: Eukaryota; Metazoa; Platyhelminthes; Trematoda; Strigeidida; Schistosomatidae
Source: Rfam
ACCUUACUGACGAGUGCCAAAAAGCACGAAACCCGGGUCUAGAGU